Etheostoma cragini (Arkansas darter) is the source of this 226-nucleotide long non-coding RNA. RefSeq lists it as uncharacterized. The transcript has 3 exons. The record is from RefSeq and is a predicted model, not a curated record. Lineage: Eukaryota; Metazoa; Chordata; Actinopteri; Perciformes; Percidae.
AGACCAGGCAAGCAGCUCACGGCUGUUUACAAUGUGUAGUCUGUUCAGUGGCCGUAGCCGUCAACAGUGAGUUAUUUUAAGCCAAGAGAGGGGGGCUGUAAAUCGGGAAGAGGGGACAGUGAGUUUGCAGUGUGUUCAGCAACUGUUUUCAUAAUUCUGAGCCAAUAAAGUGUGUUCAGUCGGGCAGAGAGGACGGCAAGAUAGUGUUAUUUUUAGUGGCUUCUGU